CCUACGGGAGGCAGCAGUGAGGAAUAUUGGUCAAUGGGCGGGAGCCUGAACCAGCCAAGUCGCGUGAGGGACGACGGUCCUAUGGAUUGUAAACCUCUUUUGUCGGGGAACAAAGGCGCCCACGGGUGGGCGGAUGAGUGUACUCGGAGAAAAAGCAUCGGCUAACUCCGUGCCAGCAGCCGCGGUAAUACGGAGGAUGCAAGCGUUUUCCGGAAUCAUUGGGCGUAAAGGGUUCGUAGGCGGUAUGUUAAGUCUGGUGUUAAAUGCAGAAGCUCAACUUCUGGUCGGCACUGGAUACUGGCAAACUAGAAUGCGGGAGAGGUAAGGGGAAUGCGUGGUGUAGCGGUGAAAUGCUUAGAUAUCAGGAGGAACAUCGGUGGCGUAAGCGCUUUACUGGGGCGUAAUUGACGCUGAGGAACGAAAGCCAGGGUAGCGAAUGGGAUUAGAUACCCGAGUAGUC
RNAcentral lists this ribosomal RNA (460 nucleotides) under uncultured bacterium. RNAcentral describes it as "partial 16S ribosomal RNA". It matches the Rfam family "Bacterial small subunit ribosomal RNA", at positions 338 to 795 of the family's 1533-position model. The record is from RNAcentral.